This 480-nucleotide ribosomal RNA is filed under the name uncultured bacterium. RNAcentral's name for it is "partial 16S ribosomal RNA". It matches the Rfam family "Bacterial small subunit ribosomal RNA", at positions 28 to 507 of the family's 1533-position model. The record is from RNAcentral.
GACGAACGCUGGCGGCGUGCUUAACACAUGCAAGUCGAACGAUGAAGAAAAGAAUCUAAGCUUCGGCAGAAAUUCAUUUCGGAUUAGUGGCAGACGGGUGAGUAACGCGUUAGCAACCUACCUCUUACAAAGGGAUAGCCUCGGGAAACCGGGAUUAAUACCAUAUAACAUUUUGACGAAGCAUUUCGAUUCAAUCAAAGCUACGGCGGUAAGAGAUGGGCUCGCGUCCCAUUAACCGGAUGGUGAGGUAACGGCUCACCAUAGUGACGAUGGGUAACCGGCCUGAGAGGGUGAACGGUCACACUGGAACUGAGACACGGUCCAGAAUCCUACGGGAGGCAGCAGUGGGGAAUAUUGCACCACGGAGGGAACUCUGAUGCAGCGACGCCGCGUGAGUGAUGAAGGAAUUCGUUUCGUAAAGCUCUGUUCUAUGGGAAGAAAAGGACUGUACCAUAGGAGAAAGCUCCGGCUAAAUACGUG